RNAcentral lists this ribosomal RNA (253 nucleotides) under uncultured bacterium. Its description in RNAcentral is "partial 16S ribosomal RNA". It matches the Rfam family "Bacterial small subunit ribosomal RNA", at positions 524 to 776 of the family's 1533-position model. The record is from RNAcentral.
UACGUAGGGUGCAAGCGUUGUCCGGAAUUAUUGGGCGUAAAGAGCUCGUAGGCGGUUUGUCGCGUCGAAUGUGAAAACCCGGGGCUCAACCCCGGGCCUGCAUUCGAUACGGGCAGACUAGAGUUCGGUAGGGGAGUCUGGAAUUCCUGGUGUAGCGGUGAAAUGCGCAGAUAUCAGGAGGAACACCGGUGGCGAAGGCGGGUCUCUGGGCCGAUACUGACGCUGAGACGCGAAAGCGUGGGGAGCAAACAGG